GAUGAACGCUAGCGGGAGGCUUAACACAUGCAAGUCGAGGGGCAGCACGAGGUAGCAAUAUUUUGGUGGCGACCGGCGCACGGGUGAGUAACGCGUAUGUAACCUACCUUGUACAGGGGGAUAGCCCGGAGAAAUUCGGAUUAAUACCCCAUAAUGAUAUUUGAAGGCAUCUUUGAAUAUUUAAAGUUUCGACGGUACGAGAUGGGCAUGCGUGACAUUAGCUAGUUGGUAAGGUAACGGCUUACCAAGGCUGCGAUGUCUAGGGGUCCUGAGAGGGUGAUCCCCCACACUGGUACUGAGACACGGACCAGACUCCUACGGGAGGCAG
This 328-nucleotide ribosomal RNA is filed under the name uncultured Bacteroidota bacterium. RNAcentral's name for it is "bacterial SSU rRNA". It matches the Rfam family "Bacterial small subunit ribosomal RNA", at positions 28 to 351 of the family's 1533-position model. Lineage: Bacteria; Pseudomonadati; Bacteroidota. The record is from RNAcentral.